UCUUCGUUUGGUUCAGUUGUUGGCAUCAUAUCUAUUGCUGUAGCUGUCUUUGCUGUGUGGAAAUGCAUACGAAAAAAGAUCAAGACUGAAACAAACCAAGGAGCCAGUGAUGCAUCAGGGAAAAGAGAAAACCAAUCUAACAGCUCUGAAGACCAGCCUCUCACUGAAGGAGGAGAAGAGACGGAGCAGACCAGGACACAAAAUAAGAGUUCACAUGCAGAGUCUGGACCUGGGAGAGAUGAAGAGGAAAGGCAAACUCGGGACUCAGUUUCCAGUAGAGGAAGAAAUAGAAACAGAGCAGCUAAUGGCAGAGGGAAAAGUAAAACAUGAUCCAGGCAAGAAAGACAUAAAAACUUUACAUGAAGAGGAAAAGAAAAGACACGGACAUCCUGUGACACUGACAGGAAAAUGAGUGAGGAAUCAGGAGGAGCAAACACUGACUGAACAGUUUGGAUGUAUUUUAUAGUUUGUUAUUUAUUUAGUUUUGUCCUUUUGUAUUUCUGAUCAUCUGCAGGUCAGACUCUUCAGUGUGGCAAAAAGUGCAGGAGUUUUGUGUUUGUACCAGGUUUUGAUUUUGUGUAUUAAAGUUCAGGUGUUUGAUUAGUGUUGUGUUGUGAGGGUGUUGUUACAUACAGGGUUAGAUUCAGGCUCAGGCCUGCUACAGGCUCUGCUAUAAAAUGCUGGUGUCAUUUCUUAAAAAAACAUAUUUUUAAUUGAAUACCUGCUGUGGGUGUUACCAUUCGGGUGGGGCAAGUGGAGGCUAGAAUUAUGUGGUUGGAGGGAAAAGGAUCUGGAGGCAGCUGGAGGACAAGAAAACAUCAAGUUGUCAGGCCUCUGUUGAGAAGUGUCUCUUACAGUGUUUUUGUCUUUGGCUGCAGCUGCAAUGUUUCUUUCUGUGGUUAGACAGUAACUUAGAUCUUCAAUAAUUAAUCACUAGUUCAUUGUAUAUAAAGCUUCACUGACCUCAGAGCAGCAGGGAGAAGUCUUUGUCUGGGGUCUAAACCUGUAAAGGAAGCAGAGGAUCAGUGUGAGAGCUGCUCAGACUUGUUGGUUUUCCCCUGUUUUAAUGCUUCAACCUACUGACAUGCAGGAACGCAUGACCAGCACCUCCCCAACUCAACAGGUUCACACAGCACAGUCUCAGCUCAUUUCAGUUUCCUGUAAAACACAACGUUCAGUUUUCUUUCAGUUUGUACUUUUGUGCUCUCCUCUGAAUUCUGAUCUUUCAGUUGGAAAUUCUCAUAUACAUACAUACACAUGGAGGUUGGAGCGCCCUCUGCUGGUAGGAAGCGAAAGAGCAAAGAGAGAAAAACUGAUGGUUUAUUUUCUGGAGUCACACACACAACACAGUCAGAAAAAAGUCACACACACUUUUGUAGCACUAGUUCCCAGCAGGGGGCAGUGGAGGAUUUGAUAUUUGUGUUCAAACAUCAGUCAGUUCCUGUUCAUAAAAUCUACACAUUCUGAUGCAUUCAUCACAAUCAUCAUCAAUCUACAUCCUGACUGAAAAUCAUUCUAUAGAUCAUUAAAUGUUGUGAGUUAAACACUCAGUGACUGUAAUAUCUAUCUAUCAGUUCAGACAGAUGAACCACAGAGGAUUCAAACCUGCAGCAGCUCUGUUCUUCUAAACAGCAUCAGCAGACGUGUGAACAGAGCAGACAGAACAACAUGUGGUUCAUCUCUUAUAAUAAACUGACUCUGAUCUCAGAGACAGACACUGACUGUUACUCACAGGCAGACAGAAGUUAACAGACUGAAAAAUCCAAGAUACCAUCACCAGUGUCUCUAAUUUAUAUAAAAACAUACUAAAUGAAAUAAGACAACUUUUAUUGUGAACACAAACACAGAGUUAACAGACCAUGUAAAACAUGUAACUGACAGGUUAAGACACCUUUUAACAGUCAACAACCUUUUCUCCAACAGCAGAGUUAUUUAUUUAGGUUACUGCUUUAUUCUCGCUUUAUCAUACAUCUUCACUACAUUCCUUCAUUAAAUUCAACAACGUUGGCACCAUAUCACUGUUAAUAACAGCCAGGCCAGUCAGCAACCAGGCCAGUUCAAAUAAAAGAUGCUGUACCUGAGGUUUUAAAACAUAUCAAUGUGGACAAACUGUGACUGCUGUUGUUUAACUUGUUGAAGAGAUGGCAAAAUGUUUACUGUGCAGCUGAUGUGAUUCAAUAUUCAACCAAACACCUAUUAAAAUUAUUUGACAGAUAACAUUCUUGUAAAUAUCUACAAAGCAUUACAGUUUUUACUGAAUGGUAACAAACUCUCAGUUAAUGUUACAACACUGUGAAGUUUAUUUCCCUCCUUCUUCACUCUCUGUGCUCAGUGACCUGUAAGACAUAUUGGAAAUAAAAAGUUAUCCUCUU
Long non-coding RNA from Lates calcarifer (barramundi perch), 2372 nucleotides. RefSeq lists it as uncharacterized. NCBI's taxonomy places the organism in Eukaryota, Metazoa, Chordata, Actinopteri, Centropomidae. The transcript is spliced from 2 exons. The record is from RefSeq and is a predicted model, not a curated record.